CCUACGGGGUGCAGCAGUGAGGAAUAUUGGUCAAUGGACGAGAGUCUGAACCAGCCAAGUAGCGUGAAGGAUGACUGCCCUAUGGGUUGUAAACUUCUUUUAUAUGGGAAUAAAAUGUUCCACGUGUGGGAUUUUGUAUGUACCAUAUGAAUAAGGAUCGGCUAACUCCGUGCCAGCAGCCGCGGUAAUACGGAGGAUCCGAGCGUUAUCCGGAUUUAUUGGGUUUAAAGGGAGCGUAGGUGGAUUGUUAAGUCAGUUGUGAAAGUUUGCGGCUCAACCGUAAAAUUGCAGUUGAAACUGGCAGUCUUGAGUACAGGAGAGGUGGGCGGAAUGCGUGGUGUAGCGGUGAAAUGCUUAGGUAUCACGAAGAACUCCGAUUGCGAAGGCAGUUCACUGGACUGCAACUGACACUGAGGCUCGAAAGUGUGGGUAUCAAACAGGAUUAGAUACCCCAGUAGUC
RNAcentral lists this ribosomal RNA (460 nucleotides) under uncultured bacterium. RNAcentral's name for it is "partial 16S ribosomal RNA". It matches the Rfam family "Bacterial small subunit ribosomal RNA", at positions 338 to 795 of the family's 1533-position model. The record is from RNAcentral.